This 75-nucleotide transfer RNA is filed under the name Rattus norvegicus (Norway rat). It matches the Rfam family "tRNA". From Rfam's summary of the family: Transfer RNA (tRNA) molecules are approximately 80 nucleotides in length. Their secondary structure includes four short double-helical elements and three loops (D, anti-codon, and T loops). The record is from RNAcentral. Lineage: Eukaryota; Metazoa; Chordata; Mammalia; Rodentia; Muridae.
GGGGUUGGGGAUUUAGCUCAGUGGUAGAGCGCUUGCCUAGCAAGCGCAAGGCCCUGGGUUCGGUCCCCAGCUCCG